GACGAACGCUUGCGGCGUGCUUAACACAUGCAAGUCGAACGGAAAGGCCCUGCUUUUGUGGGGUGCUCGAGUGGCGAAUGGGUGAGUAACACGUGAGUAACCUGCCCUUGACUUUGGGAUAACUUCAGGAAACUGGGGCUAAUACCGGAUAGGAGCUCCUGCUGCAUGGUGGGGGUUGGAAAGUUUCGGCGGUUGGGGAUGGACUCGCGGCUUAUCAGCUUGUUGGUGGGGUAGUGGCUUACCAAGGCUUUGACGGGUAGCCGGCCUGAGAGGGUGACCGGCCACAUUGGGACUGAGAUACGGCCCAGACUCCUACGGGAGGCAGCAGUGGGGAAUAUUGCACAAUGGGCGGAAGCCUGAUGCAGCAACGCCGCGUGCGGGAUGACGGCCUUCGGGUUGUAAACCGCUUUCGCCUGUGACGAAGCGUGAGUGACGGUAAUGGGUAAAGAAGCACCGGCUAACUACGUGCCAGCAGCCGCGGUGAUACGUAGGGUGCGAGCGUUGUCCGGAUUUAUUGGGCGUAAAGGGCUCGUAGGUGGUUGAUCGCGUCGGAAGUGUAAUCUUGGGGCUUAACCCUGAGCGUGCUUUCGAUACGGGUUGACUUGAGGAAGGUAGGGGAGAAUGGAAUUCCUGGUGGAGCGGUGGAAUGCGCAGAUAUCAGGAGGAACACCAGUGGCGAAGGCGGUUCUCUGGGCCUUUCCUGACGCUGAGGAGCGAAAGCGUGGGGAGCGAACAGGCUUAGAUACCCUGGUAGUCCACGCUGUAAACGGUGGGUACUAGGUGUGGGGUCCAUUCCACGGGUUCCGUGCCGUAGCUAACGCUUUAAGUACCCCGCCUGGGGAGUACGGCCGCAAGGCUAAAACUCAAAGGAAUUGACGGGGCCCCGCACAAGCGGCGGAGCAUGCGGAUUAAUUCGAUGCAACGCGUAGAACCUUACCUGGGUUUGACAUGGAUCGGGAGUGCUCAGAGAUGGGUGUGCCUCUUUUGGGGUCGGUUCACAGGUGGUGCAUGGCUGUCGUCAGCUCGUGUCGUGAGAUGUUGGGUUAAGUCCCGCAACGAGCGCAACCCUUGUUCACUGUUGCCAGCACGUUAUGGUGGGGACUCAGUGGAGACCGCCGGGGUCAACUCGGAGGAAGGUGGGGAUGACGUCAAGUCAUCAUGCCCCUUAUGUCCAGGGCUUCACGCAUGCUACAAUGGCUGGUACAGAGAGUGGCGAGCCUGUGAGGGUGAGCGAAUCUCGGAAAGCCGGUCUCAGUUCGGAUUGGGGUCUGCAACUCGACCUCAUGAAGUCGGAGUCGCUAGUAAUCGCAGAUCAGCAACGCUGCGGUGAAUACGUUCCCGGG
This 1343-nucleotide ribosomal RNA is filed under the name uncultured bacterium. Its description in RNAcentral is "16S ribosomal RNA". It matches the Rfam family "Bacterial small subunit ribosomal RNA", at positions 28 to 1378 of the family's 1533-position model. The record is from RNAcentral.